Molecule: ribosomal RNA, 235 nt
Filed under: uncultured bacterium
Lineage: Bacteria
Description: partial 16S ribosomal RNA
Rfam family: Bacterial small subunit ribosomal RNA
Source: RNAcentral
CGAACGGGUGCGUAACACGUGAACAACCUGCCCUCGUGUGGGGGAUAGCCAUGCUAACGCGUGGGUAAUACCGCAUACGUUCCCGAGGGGGAGUCCCCUGGGGAAGAAAGCUCAGGCGCACGGGGAGGGGUUCGCGGCCUAUCAGCUAGUUGGUGCGGUAACGGCGCACCAAGGCGACGACGGGUAGCUGGUCUGAGAGGAUGGCCAGCCACAUUGGGACUGAGAUACGGCCCAG